This 29-nucleotide non-coding RNA is filed under the name Mus musculus (house mouse). The record is from RNAcentral. Lineage: Eukaryota; Metazoa; Chordata; Mammalia; Rodentia; Muridae.
UGGAAUUUCAUAGGAGUGUUAUUCAUCCA